Molecule: ribosomal RNA, 922 nt
Filed under: uncultured Rubrobacteria bacterium
Lineage: Bacteria; Bacillati; Actinomycetota; Rubrobacteria
Description: bacterial SSU rRNA
Rfam family: Bacterial small subunit ribosomal RNA
Source: RNAcentral
AGAGUUUGAUCCUGGCUCAGGACGAACGCUGGCGGCGCGCUUAACACAUGCAAGUCGAGCGAGAACCAGUCCUUCGGGACUGGGGAAAGCGGCGAACGGGUGAGUAACACGUGGGUAAUCUGCCCUCGGCACUGGGAUAGCCCGGGGAAACCCGGAUUAAUACCGGAUAGCCUUUCGAGUCCUCGGACUCGUCAGAAAAGGUGGCUUCGGCUACUGGCUGAGGAUGAGCCCGCGGCGGAUUAGCUUGUUGGCGGGGUAAUGGCCCACCAAGGCGACGAUCCGUAGCUGGUCUGAGAGGACGAUCAGCCACACUGGGACUGAGACACGGCCCAGACUCCUACGGGAGGCAGCAGUGGGGAAUCUUGCGCAAUGGGCGAAAGCCUGACGCAGCGACGCCGCGUGCGGGAAGAAGGCCUUCGGGUUGUAAACCGCUUUCAGGACGGACGAAGCCACUCGGGUUAAUACCCCAGAGGGUGACGGUACCUCCAGAAGAAGCCCCGGCUAACUACGUGCCAGCAGCCGCGGUAAUACGUAGGGGGCAAGCGUUGUCCGGAUUUAUUGGGCGUAAAGAGCGUGUAGGCGGCCAGGUAGGUCAGCUGUGAAAACUCGAGGCUCAACCUCGAGAUGUCGGUUGAAACCAUCUGGCUAGAGUCCGGAAGAGGAGAAUGGAAUUCCCGGUGUAGCGGUGAAAUGCGCAGAUAUCGGGAAGAACACCCGUGGCGAAGGCGGUUCUCUGGGACGGUACUGACGCUGAGACGCGAAAGCGUGGGGAGCGAACAGGAUUAGAUACCCUGGUAGUCCACGCCGUAAACGAUGGGCACUAGGUGUGGGAGGUGUCGACUCCUCCCGUGCCGGCGCUAACGCAUUAAGUGCCCCGCCUGGGGAGUACGGCCGCAAGGCUAAAACUCAAAGGAAUUGACGG